This 228-nucleotide long non-coding RNA is filed under the name Pogona vitticeps (central bearded dragon). RNAcentral describes it as "lncRNA (ENSPVIG00000014498.1)". Lineage: Eukaryota; Metazoa; Chordata; Lepidosauria; Squamata; Agamidae. The record is from RNAcentral.
UGAGGAGAGCAUUCUCCGGUCACAUGGCUGGAGGGCUCCUGGUUCUUGUUACAUAUUUACAGUUGGCAGAAGCUGUUCAUGUGAAUUAUAUCAGAUACAGAAACAUUCACUGUGAAUUAUUCUAAAGCCAGUGCUUUUGUUCAUGUGAGUUAUCAAAGUAACUCUCCAGUCAUUAAAAAUCUUAUUCCUUGAAAUAAAUAGGUUCCCAAAGUUGGAGGAGGGGGGGAA